RNAcentral lists this ribosomal RNA (460 nucleotides) under uncultured bacterium. RNAcentral describes it as "partial 16S ribosomal RNA". It matches the Rfam family "Bacterial small subunit ribosomal RNA", at positions 338 to 795 of the family's 1533-position model. The record is from RNAcentral.
CCUACGGGAGGCAGCAGUGAGGAAUAUUGGUCAAUGGACGCAAGUCUGAACCAGCCAAGCCGCGUGCAGGAAGACGGCUCUAUGAGUUGUAAACUGCUUUUGUACGAGGGUAAACGCAGAUACGCGUAUCUGUAUGAAAGUAUCGUAUGAAUAAGGAUCGGCUAACUCCGUGCCAGCAGCGGCGGUAAUACUGAGGAUUCGAGCGUUAUCCGGAUUUAUUGGGUUUAAAGGGUGCGUAGGCGGUCGGAUAAGGUAGCGGUGAAAUCCCGAGGCUCAACUUCGGAACUGCCUCUGAUACUGGUCGGCUAGAGAGUGGGUGCGGUAGGCGGAAUUUAUGGUGUAGCGGUGAAAUGCUUAGAGAUCAUGCAGAACACCGAUUGCGAAGGCAGCUUACCAAGGUACUUCUGACGUUGAGGCACGAAAGCGUGGGGAGCAAACAGGAUUAGAUACCCGAGUAGUC